ACGUAGGGGGCAAGCGUUGUCCGGAUUUAUUGGGCGUAAAGAGCGUGUAGGCGGCCAGACAGGUCAGCUGUGAAAACUCGAGGCUCAACCUCGAGACGUCGGUUGAAACCGUCUGGCUAGAGUCCGGAAGAGGAGAGUGGAAUUCCCGGUGUAGCGGUGAAAUGCGCAGAUAUCGGGAAGAACACCCGUGGCGAAGGCGGCCACCUGGGCCAACACUGACACUGAGGCACUAAAGUGUGGGGAGCAAACAGGA
Molecule: ribosomal RNA, 253 nt
Filed under: uncultured prokaryote
Description: partial 16S ribosomal RNA
Rfam family: Bacterial small subunit ribosomal RNA
Source: RNAcentral